GACAAAGCAAACCUUGUUCAAUACGUGAUCAUCUUCCCUUCCUCUUCUUCUUAACCACAAUCCAAUCUUUCAUCUUCAUCCUGAUUUCUCUAUUUCUCUCUAAAAUACUGAAAGUUAUCGGCUUUUUUCUUUGUUCCUUUUCAUUGUUGUUUGUAUUUAUGCCAUGGCGUUUUCUUCUGGGAGCUUAGAUACAUCUGCAAAUUCCCAUCCUUCAAGUUUCAGUUUCUCCACACAUUCCUGCAUGACCAACUCCUUCUCUGACCUUCUUGCAUCUGGUGCCGAUGAUGAA
RNAcentral lists this unclassified non-coding RNA (289 nucleotides) under Hevea brasiliensis (rubber tree). Lineage: Eukaryota; Viridiplantae; Streptophyta; Magnoliopsida; Malpighiales; Euphorbiaceae. The record is from RNAcentral.